This 624-nucleotide unclassified non-coding RNA is filed under the name Hevea brasiliensis (rubber tree). Lineage: Eukaryota; Viridiplantae; Streptophyta; Magnoliopsida; Malpighiales; Euphorbiaceae. The record is from RNAcentral.
CUCGUCAAGAGCGUCCAUAAUUAUGUUCUCCAUGGUUGAAUUAUCAGCAGCGUGGAAAGUUUCCUUCAAUGGAGCGAUCUUGGAGGUGGAAAAUGGUAAUUUUGAGGUGAUGGUGCGGGGCAAAAAUGACCUUUGAGGCAUUUUAUCUCUAAUGUCAGGCAUUGGCAUCACGUUACCCUUCUUGAGCUCAGACUCACGGAAAAAUUUGCCAGGCUCAAUCCACUUAUUUACCAAACUACCACUGACCUUCUUUGCAGUAGUUUCUUCAGAUGCAGUAGUGGAGCUUGUUUUGCUGUACCCAGAAAAAGAUACGCUCUUUUUAUCAGCAUACUCUUUGAAAGUGUUGUUCACUCCAUAGAUCUUGAACCCAAUCUUCGGCUUAUCUGCUCGUUCACCAUACCCAGUAAAUGUAUCAGACCCUUCAUUGAAGGAUUUCCCAUAAUUUUUGAAAUUUACAGUUCCCCCAGUUGAUUUUUUAGCAUAAGAUUGGAAGGAAUCGUCACCCACAUUGGAUUCAUCUCUGUAAUUGGUGAAGGUAUCAAAACUACCAGUUCCUUCAGCGCCGUAGUUCUUGAAAUUGUUCUCUGGAACAUUUCCAUUGAACCCAUAAGACUUGAAGGUAUC